Molecule: ribosomal RNA, 284 nt
Filed under: Ixodes ricinus (castor bean tick)
Lineage: Eukaryota; Metazoa; Arthropoda; Arachnida; Ixodida; Ixodidae
Description: partial small subunit ribosomal RNA
Source: RNAcentral
AAGAUAAAAUUUGAUUUUAAAAAAAUUUAAUUUUUAAACUAGGAUUAGAUACCCUAUUAUUUUAAGCUUAAUGUUGGUAGUAAGUAAAAUUUAUGAAAUCAUAAAAUUUUGGCGGUAUUUUAAGCUUGUUAGAGGAAUUUGCUCUAUAAUGGAUACAACGCCUAUAUCUUACUUAAUUUUGUAAUUAAAGUCAGUUUGUAUACCCCUAUAUUUAAUUAUAUUGAAUAAUUAUAUUUAAGAUUUUUAUAUAAAUAUAUAUUAAGUCAAGGUGCAACAAAUAAUUA